Long non-coding RNA from Lemur catta (Ring-tailed lemur), 1322 nucleotides. RefSeq lists it as uncharacterized. Lineage: Eukaryota; Metazoa; Chordata; Mammalia; Primates; Lemuridae. The record is from RefSeq and is a predicted model, not a curated record. The transcript has 4 exons.
AGAUUUUAGAAGAAAGUAAAAAAAAAAAAAAAAUAACCAGGCAGACAAACAUAGAUCGGAUGAGGGCCUGAAGGGGGAGGUGCCUGAAACCCCAGGAGACCCCACGGGAAGAAGCUGCGGAGGAGAAAGACCCCUGAGAGGCUGGGAGCCCAGCGACAGGAUUGGAAAUCACUGGAGGAAUUCUACAAACAAGAGGAUUCUGGCUAUUGCUUUUAGACAGCUGGGAAAUAUGCUUUCAAGAUGUCCCUGAGCACCCAGAUGGGAGCCCAGAGACGGCUGGGGGAGGAAGAUCGGGAGAGACAAAAACAGGACAGAGACAGAGAUAAACCUGGAAAGACAGAGAGAGAAAAUAAAAUCCAGUUUCCAUUUCUCAUGGCAACCUGGGAUAUUCGCUUUGCUUGCCGAUCAUCUAACACACUGCUUCCAUAUUUUGGAUUUCAUAAAGCCACAGUGCCUUUGCAAGCUCUUCCUCGUCUACCCAAACUCUCGAUGUUGGGCUGAUCCAGGACUCACCACUGGUUGUCGCCUUUAGUGCCACUGUCUCCCCAGGGAUAUCUCUUUGUCCCAGGGCUUUAGCACCAUCCAUAUUAAUACCAGAUUUACAUCUCUGGUACUGAUCAUUCCCCCGAGCUUCUGUCUUGGACGUCUGCUCUCAAUUUUAUGUUUGCACUUGGAAGUCACGGCGGGAUUCGAGUAGUGCCGUCCACACUGCAACCCGAGGCAGCUGCUAUUCACUGGGGAAAUACCAAGGCCGGGCACAGUCAGAGGCCACAGAACAAAAUGGUUAUAGCCGGUUGGUGCCAACCCCCACCCCUCCAGCUUGUUGAUGGAAAAAUCAGCCGAAUGACUCUGGGUUGACCUAGUCUUUGAGAGGGAGGUAUUGGGUGGCAGUUAUUCCUAAAGAGAGGUCACUGUUAAAGACGACAGAAAGCAGCUGGUAGAGUCAUUAACCACUGUGGUUUCAAAGCCUGGGUAUUAACGUAAAGCCUCGUGCUUGUUUCAGAUGGAAGCCGGAGUUCCAGAAAAGACUAAACAGUCUCUGUGGGUGUGAGAAGGUCCUGUUUGAGGAGCUGCGUGGUCACAAUGAGCAGGAAAAUGUUUACCUGUGAACACUGUCAGCCGAGAGGCUCCCAGAAGCCUCGGAGCAGUGGGUGGCCGCUGAUUACCGUCCCGGAGCAGAGAGGGACACUAGAGCCCAGAUCUCCAUGGUAACCGUCUCCGGGUCUCCUGGUGACGGAGGAGGUUUCUGCAGAUGACACUGUCCGACACGUGGGGCCUCUGGGCGGGAGAAUGCUGAUUUUGACAGUGACGAGAACGUAAAG